AUUGAACGCUGGCGGCAUGCUUUACACAUGCAAGUCGAACGGUAACAGCACUUCGGUGGCUGACGAGUGGCGAACGGGUGAGUAAUACAUCGGAACGUGCCUAGUAGUGGGGGAUAACUACUCGAAAGAGUAGCUAAUACCGCAUGAGAUCUAAGGAUGAAAGCAGGGGACCUUCGGGCCUUGCGCUACUAGAGCGGCUGAUGGCAGAUUAGGUAGUUGGUGGGAUAAAAGCUUACCAAGCCGACGAUCUGUAGCUGGUCUGAGAGGACGACCAGCCACACUGGGACUGAGGCACGGCCCAGACUCCUACGGGAGGCAGCAGUGGGGAAUUUUGGACAAUGGGCGCAAGCCUGAUCCAGCAAUGCCGCGUGCAGGAUGAAGGCCUUCGGGUUGUAAACUGCUUUUGUACGGAACGAAAAGCCCUCUUCUAAUACAGGAGGGUCAUGACGGUACCGUAAGAAUAAGCACCGGCUAACUACGU
This 481-nucleotide ribosomal RNA is filed under the name uncultured bacterium. RNAcentral's name for it is "partial 16S ribosomal RNA". It matches the Rfam family "Bacterial small subunit ribosomal RNA", at positions 30 to 506 of the family's 1533-position model. The record is from RNAcentral.